CCUACGGGCGGCAGCAGUGGGGGAUAUUGCACAAUGGGGGCAACCCUGAUGCAGCGACGCCGCGUGGGCGAAGAAGUAUUUCGGUAUGUAAAGCCCUAUCAGCAGGGAAGAAGGAAUGACGGUACCUGAGUAUGACGCACCGGCUAACUACGUGCCAGCAGCCGCGGUAAUACGUAUGGUGCAAGCGUUAUCCGGAUUUACUGGGUGUACAGGGAGCGCAGGCGGCACGGCAAGCCUGAUGUGAAAGCCCGCGGCCCAACCGGGGGACUGCAUGGGGAACUACCGGGCUGGAGCGGCGGAGAGGUAGGCAGAAUUCCUAGUGUAGCGGUGAAAUGCGUAGAUAGGAGGAGGAACACCAGUGGCGAAGGCGGCCUACUGGACGGUGACUGACGCUGAGGCUCGAAAGCGUGGGGAGCAAACAGGAUUAGAUACCCGAGUAGUC
RNAcentral lists this ribosomal RNA (442 nucleotides) under uncultured bacterium. RNAcentral's name for it is "partial 16S ribosomal RNA". It matches the Rfam family "Bacterial small subunit ribosomal RNA", at positions 338 to 795 of the family's 1533-position model. The record is from RNAcentral.